RNAcentral lists this non-coding RNA (28 nucleotides) under Mus musculus (house mouse). The record is from RNAcentral. Lineage: Eukaryota; Metazoa; Chordata; Mammalia; Rodentia; Muridae.
UAGCAAUCUUGUUGUUUCGUGCUUAAGG